This 495-nucleotide ribosomal RNA is filed under the name uncultured bacterium. Its description in RNAcentral is "partial 16S ribosomal RNA". It matches the Rfam family "Bacterial small subunit ribosomal RNA", at positions 28 to 507 of the family's 1533-position model. The record is from RNAcentral.
GACGAACGCUGGCGGCGUGCCUAAUACAUGCAAGUAGAACGCUGAAGGAGGAGCUUGCUUCUCUGGAUGAGUUGCGAACGGGUGAGUAACGCGUAGGUAACCUGCCUGGUAGCUGGGGAUAACUAUUGGAAACGAUAGCUAAUACCGCAUAAGAGUAGAUGUUGCAUGACAUUUGCUUAAAAGGUGCAAUUGCAUCACUACCAGAUGGACCUGCGUGGUAUUAGCUAGUUGGUGGGGUAACGGCUUACCAAGGCGACGAUACAUAGCCGACCUGAGAGGGGGAUCGGCCACAAUGGGACUGAGACACGGCCCAGACUCCUACGGGAGGCAGCAGUAGGGAAUCUUCGGCAAUGGACGGAAGUCUGACCGAGCAACGCCGCGUGAGUGAAGAAGGGUGUCGGAUCGUAAAGCUCUGUUGUAAGAGAAGAAAGAGUGUGAGAGUGGAAAGUUCACACUGUGACGGUAUCUUACCAGAAAGGGACGGCUAACUACGUG